CUACGGGGCGCACCAGUAGGGAAUAUUGCGCAAUGGGGGAAACCCUGACGCAGCAACGCCAUGUGAAGGAUGAAGGCCUUUGGGUUGUAAACUUCUGUCAGCAGGGAAGAAAAGCAGUAGUUCGAAUAGGUCUAUUGUAUGACGGUACCUGCAGAGGAAGCACCGGCUAACUUCGUGCCAGCAGCCGCGGUAAUACGAAGGGUGCAAGCGUUGUUCGGAAUCACUGGGCGUAAAGCGCGCGCAGGCGGAUAGUUAAGUCAGUAGUGAAAGCCUAUGGCUCAACCAUAGAAGUGCUAUUGAAACUGGCUAUCUAGAGUCCCAGAGGGGAAGGUAGAAUUCCUAGUGUAGAGGUGAAAUUCGUAGAUAUUAGGAGGAAUACCAGAGGCGAAGGCGGCCUUCUGGCUGGGCACUGACGCUGAGGCGCGAAAGUGUGGGGAGCAAACAGGAUUAGAUACCCUGGUAGUC
This 465-nucleotide ribosomal RNA is filed under the name uncultured bacterium. Its description in RNAcentral is "partial 16S ribosomal RNA". It matches the Rfam family "Bacterial small subunit ribosomal RNA", at positions 339 to 795 of the family's 1533-position model. The record is from RNAcentral.